CCGGGGGCGGGGAGCGCUGAGCUCGCGCCAGGCCCGGAAUGUGUCGCUGAGGGGCCGUCUCCGCUCGGAGCAGCUAGGCCGGGCCGGGCGGAGCGAGGCGCGCCGCCGCCUCCCCGCCGCCCGGGCUGCGCCCUCAGCCCUGGCAACUUGUGGGUCUCUUGCUCUGCCCUCUGCUCUCAUCCUUCCCUCGUCUCCGUCCCCUCCCAGGAAAAAGUAAAUAAAUAAGAAGAAACCCCUUAAAUCCAAAUAAGCAAACAAACAGCGAGAUCCAAAAUGUGCCAGCAGUUGGAGCAUCUAUGCCCCGUUAGUUACUGUUUGGGGAUCUGUGUUUUAAAAAGUUCCUGGUGAGAAUUGCAUAUCCAGGCAAGGGCUCAGUCGAGCAUGUCUGUUUGAAGUUACUUAAACUAGUAGAGCCAAAGGGAAAAGGAGUUUGUGUUCAAAAUCUCUCUAAUCGUCCUACGUGAACAGCAUUGUUAGAGUAACUAAGCACCCCGCCCCCCACCCCAACGUAGUUUCCACUCCUGCUGUCCACCUAGCCUACUUUGUUUGGAAUCCCAUUUGCUAUUAAUUGACAGCGUUAAUGACAUUAAUUGCAUAUAGCAUAUCGGCUUGAGCAAAGUGAAUAUCUCUGUUUCCGAAGAGGAAAGGCUCAAUGAAAUGUUACCCACUGAUUCAUAAGGAAAACAAAUACAGUCAGGGAAAUGCAACCCCAGCUUCCAAGCAUGGACAUUUACUUUCCUCACAGGCUUAGGAAAACUUGAAAAGAGGCCGAGGGAAGUGUUUAAUUGAAAAAUUUAAUUAUAACAGACAGUUUUAUUUUUGAUACAACAUAGGUUUUUGAUACAACAUACAUCGAGAAAAAAAUAGGGAGACACUCAGGCUGUAAAAAGCUUCUAUUGUAUUAUUGCUUGUUUUCUUCAUAUAAUAGGGACAGCAAAAU
Molecule: long non-coding RNA, 940 nt
Filed under: Marmota monax (woodchuck)
Lineage: Eukaryota; Metazoa; Chordata; Mammalia; Rodentia; Sciuridae
Source: RNAcentral